UGGUCCGUGAGUGUGCCAUGUCUUCUAUGUCAGCAGUCGCCAACCUUUCAACCCUCAUGGACCACCAGCAGUCCAUGGACCACCAGCUGGCAACCG
Long non-coding RNA from Myotis davidii, 96 nucleotides. RefSeq lists it as uncharacterized. The record is from RefSeq and is a predicted model, not a curated record. Lineage: Eukaryota; Metazoa; Chordata; Mammalia; Chiroptera; Vespertilionidae. The transcript has 3 exons.